AAGCGAGUGUCACUAUUAUAUGUGCUAAUGACUUUCAGUUUCUAUAGUUGUAGAGAUAUUUGUUUAAUUUUCUUCAUUUGAAACUUGAGACUAAUGAGUUUAGUUUUGUCGAUUUCCUUUCAGUGAAACACUGCUUAUAUUCUUUUUGCCGCAAGUCCUGAACUUCCUACUAUCACUACCUCAGCUAGCUGGUAUUAUACCUUGUCCAAGGCAUCGGCUACCUAAGUUUGACCCUCAGACUGGCUUAUUGACCGGAACAAAUGAUGGGACACUAGUGAACUUUUUCUUAAGGCAAUUGGGCAGAAUGUCGGAACAGUCCCUUUGUGUUGUGCUACUGGUUUUCCAGGCCAUUUGCUGCUGCUUCUGUUUUCUGUUGAGGUGGCUCCUUACAGGAUGGUAUAAAUGAAGCUAACACUAGAAGAGCUAUUUCAUUUUCGACGAAAACCAGAGGAAUGAGUAACUUAAUCCUGCAUGAAUAUUUUGAAGGAAGUGGUAGCCUAUAUAUUCAUGCAUGGAGUUCAAAUGAACUCAUGCUGUUGGAUCUUGUAACCUAUACCAAAUCCGUAGGAGAACUUCGUUAGCUACCGUGUUGGCACGGUUUUUUUUUUUUUUAAAAAUUUAAUUUAGGAGAAUCUAUAGUGUUUCCACACUUCCCCUCUGGCACGGGUCAUACUUAGUUUUCUUUUUCUUAGAUUUUGAUGUUGUAGAACGCGUGUAUCUUGGUAAUUAUGUCCGUAAUGAUCUCGCAUUCUCACCUAAUUCGAUUAUUUUGAAGGCUUGGUAACAUCUUUUAGAAUCAGUAACUUGAAAUCUUUGAA
This is a non-coding RNA of Nicotiana tabacum (common tobacco), 818 nucleotides long. NCBI's taxonomy places the organism in Eukaryota, Viridiplantae, Streptophyta, Magnoliopsida, Solanales, Solanaceae. The record is from RefSeq and is a predicted model, not a curated record.